AGUAAAAGUCGUAACAAGGUUUCCGUAGGUGAACCUGCGGAAGGAUCAUUAUCGUAGGGCUUUUGUCCUGUCGAGAUAGCGUCCUUGCCUAUUUUUUGGAGCACCGUUCGUUUCCUCAGCAGGCUUGCCUGCUACUGGGGACCCCUCAAACUCUUUGUAAAUACAGUAAUCGUCUGAAAAACAAACAAAAAAUCAAAACUUUCAACAAUGGAUCUCUUGGUUCUGGCAUCGAUGAAGAACGCAGCAAAAUGCGAUAAGUAGUGUGAAUUGCAGAAUUCAGUGAAUCAUCGAAUCUUUGAACGCACAUUGCGCCCUUUGGUAUUCCUUAGGGCAUGCCUGUUCGAGCGUCAUUUACACCCUCAAGCACAGCUUGGUGUUGGGCGUCUGUCCCGCUUCGGCGCGGACUCGCCUCAAAACGAUUGGCAGCCACUUCAGCGGCUUUGAGCGCAGCAGAAUUGCGUCUCUCGUCGCGGCGGGUGGCAUCCAGUAAGCAACAUUUAUAUCUUGACCUCGGAUCAGGUAGGGAUACCCGGUGAACUUAAGCAUAUCAAUAAGCGGAGGA
This 562-nucleotide ribosomal RNA is filed under the name uncultured fungus. RNAcentral describes it as "eukaryotic LSU rRNA". The stretch from base 197 to 350 matches the Rfam family "5.8S ribosomal RNA". The record is from RNAcentral. Lineage: Eukaryota; Fungi.